This 659-nucleotide long non-coding RNA is filed under the name Phaseolus vulgaris (common bean). RNAcentral's name for it is "long non-coding RNA (PVUL_LNC003591)". Lineage: Eukaryota; Viridiplantae; Streptophyta; Magnoliopsida; Fabales; Fabaceae. The record is from RNAcentral.
CACUCCAACGCCCAAGUCAGUGACGGUAUCACCAAAUACUAAGAGAACAAGAACCGUGCAAAUCCUCUCUCACAGUAAGCUCUAUAACUCGCAAGCGUAAAGAGUAUAAUCUGAACGUGCGUACCUCAGAAAGUUCGUUAAGAACUCUUAUAUACCUGGUAACUUUCUCUCUCCUGGCAGUUACAGACUUGGACACGUGGCUCGCAUCCAACUGUACACGUGCCAUCAUCUGGAGGCUUCUUGACUUGGCGCUGCUUCUACUCUCAUUUUGGCUAAGUUACUUAUGCAUGGUACUGCCCAGUGCAUAGCUAACUCGGGAGUGCGAUCUCUACUGGAACUGGCGAGUUAGGGGCCUUCAUACACCUUCCCUGUGGUCUCGCCGGCCGCCUUCAUAAUCUGCUUCUCCUUCAUCUUCGACGAUGUGCUCGCUCUGGCGAUCUCCAAUGACUAGGUCGUCUGAAUCUACAUCUGGCGACUUCGUCUUUAACCUGGUGAUCGCCGAUUCUGGUAAGCUGGAGAUCGGAACACGCCAACUUAAUAACUGGUGACUUCACGAGCCCCCCGACUUCCUUCCCUUCUGCCAACCUGGCGCCUUGUCAACACGCCUAUACUGUAGCUGGAUGCCACGUCAUCACUUCCGACUUCCAGGGCGGUACAUA